Long non-coding RNA from Hippocampus zosterae (dwarf seahorse), 417 nucleotides. RefSeq lists it as uncharacterized. Lineage: Eukaryota; Metazoa; Chordata; Actinopteri; Syngnathiformes; Syngnathidae. The record is from RefSeq and is a predicted model, not a curated record. The transcript has 4 exons.
GAAGUUCCUCCCUCUGGACCGGAAAUCUCUCUUUUUGGACUGGAAGACGAGAGGUGUAGGACGGGUGUUCUUCGUUGCUCCUCGCCCAGAGCAACAAAAUGAUGACUUUUUGGUGGUUUCUUCGACCGAGUGGAGACGUGUGCGUGGUUGUGCAAAGAUAAUCAGAUGGACAGCUGUGAAAUGUGAUCUUCUACGGUGUCUGAUAAGCGGUGACCCUGACGGAAUGCAAAUCGGAAGGUUUGCUCCAUUUUGUCUCCGGUAAAGAAGCGGUAUAAACGGAAAGGGGACAUUUUGUUCAUCUCGGGUAUGUAUUUCAAACUGUGACAUGCUGCCCUAAAAUAUCUACCGGUUAUCUGAGCCGUUUAUCCUUCCGUAAAAUAAAUCCUGUGAAAAAAAUGGCUGUUGUAAUGGUGCUUA